UCGAACGGCAGCGAGGAGAAGCUUGCUUCUCUGUCGGCGAGUGGCGAACGGGUGAGUAUAGCAUCGGAACGUGCCAAGUAGUGGGGGAUAACCAAACGAAAGUUUGGCUAAUACCGCGUAAGCUCCAAGGAGGAAAGUAGGGGACCUAAUAAGGCCUUACGCUAUUUGAUCGGCCGAUGUCGGAUUAGCUAGUUGGUGGGGUAAUGGCUCACCAAGGCAAUGAUCCGUAGCGGGUCUGAGAGGACGAUCCGCCACACUGGGACUGAGACACGGCCCAGACUCCUACGGGAGGCAGCAGUGGGGAAUUUUGGACAAUGGGGGAAACCCUGAUCCAGCCAUGCCGCGUGUAUGAAGAAGGCCUUAGGGUUGUAAAGUACUUUUGUUAGGGAAGAAAAGCUAGUUUUUAAUAAAAAUUAGUGAUGACGGUACCUAAAGAAUAAGCACUGACUAACUACGUGCCAGCAGCCGCGGUAAUACGUAGGGUGCAAGCGUUAAUCGGAAUUAUUGGGCGUAAAGCGAGUGCAGACGGUUACUUAAGCCAGAUGUGAAAUCCCCAAGCUUAACUUGGGACGUGCAUUUGGAACUGGGUGACUAGAGUGUGUCAGAGGGAGGUAGAAUUCCACAUGUAGCGGUGGAAUGCGUAGAGAUGUGGAGGAAUACCGAUGGCGAAGGCAGCCUCCCCGGGAUAACACUGACGUUGAGGCCCGAAAGCGUG
Molecule: ribosomal RNA, 715 nt
Filed under: uncultured Neisseriales bacterium
Lineage: Bacteria; Pseudomonadati; Pseudomonadota; Betaproteobacteria; Neisseriales
Description: bacterial SSU rRNA
Rfam family: Bacterial small subunit ribosomal RNA
Source: RNAcentral